CAGGUCUAAGAACGAAAGACCCAAGAGAAUAGCAUGAAUCCGACUUCCGAUGUCCGACAUCUGACUUCUGAAUCGGAGCUAGCCGUCGAAGGUGGGGCCGAUGAUUGGGGUGAAGUCGUAACAAGGUAGCCGUAUCGGAAGGUGCGGCUGGAUCACCUCCUUU
Ribosomal RNA from Peptococcaceae bacterium CEB3, 163 nucleotides. It matches the Rfam family "Bacterial small subunit ribosomal RNA", at positions 1427 to 1533 of the family's 1533-position model. NCBI's taxonomy places the organism in Bacteria, Bacillati, Bacillota, Clostridia, Eubacteriales, Peptococcaceae. The record is from Rfam.